UACGUAGGGUGCGAGCGUUGUCCGGAAUUAUUGGGCGUAAAGAGCUUGUAGGCGGUUUGUCGCGUCUGCCGUGAAAAUCCGGGGCUCAACCCCGGACUUGCGGUGGGUACGGGCAGACUAGAGUGUGGUAGGGGAGACUGGAAUUCCUGGUGUAGCGGUGAAAUGCGCAGAUAUCAGGAGGAACACCGGUGGCGAAGGCGGUUCUCUGGGACGGUACUGACGCUGAGACGCGAAAGCGUGGGGAGCGAACAGG
RNAcentral lists this ribosomal RNA (253 nucleotides) under uncultured bacterium. Its description in RNAcentral is "partial 16S ribosomal RNA". It matches the Rfam family "Bacterial small subunit ribosomal RNA", at positions 524 to 776 of the family's 1533-position model. The record is from RNAcentral.